This is a long non-coding RNA of Hemicordylus capensis (graceful crag lizard), 1560 nucleotides long. RefSeq lists it as uncharacterized. The record is from RefSeq and is a predicted model, not a curated record. NCBI's taxonomy places the organism in Eukaryota, Metazoa, Chordata, Lepidosauria, Squamata, Cordylidae. The transcript has 3 exons.
AGCCUGCAGCUGUCUUCUGGAACAUGCUGCCAGCCUGCCAGGUUUUGAUCUGAAAACACUGGAGGAUCCUUUCCCGGUAGCAUCCAAGAGCAGCAUCCAAGAUAACCUUGUGUUGGAAGAGUUUGACAAGGAGGAGGAGUUUGGUAAAUGUAUGUGCAUCAGAAAGGAGAGAGUGGGAAUGAUUGAAUAGCCAUUUGAGCCAGAGACUUAAUGUUUUGUUUUCUGUUUUGUGAGAGAUAUGCUGAGUGAGAUAUGUGAGAGAUAUGCUGAGUGAGAGAUAUGCUGUUCAAACCAGAAGCGCCCCCAGUAAAUGCUAUAUGCUAUCCUAGACACAAGGCGAGGUUUAUCCAACACUUGCUUGGGCUGAUGGCAUCAUCCACUGUGGCACUGCCCCAGGCCUGUCUUCGCCUAAGGACUUUACAGACCUGGUUUCUGCGCACGUUUCGCCCACAAAUACACUCUCAACAGUGGCUCCUUGUAGCGCCUCGCGGGGGCAGUCUCCUGAUAGACAUGCACGUCCAACCUAACUCAAGGGACUCUAUUCCACAUGCAAACGCCCACCCUUAUGAUCACCAUAGAUGCCAUCCCCAGUACGGGAUGGGGAGCGCAUUUCAAAGACCUAGUGGUCGCUGGGACUUGGACAAAGGAAGAACGAUGCCAUCACAUCAGUUAUCUCAAGCUCAGGGUGAUGUUCUUGGUGCUCAAGGCUUUCUGUCAUUGGAUAGAAGGAUCUGCUGUACUCCUCAUAGACAACACUAUGGCCAGAUUUUACCUGAACAGACAGGGAGGGACAGCAUCUCUUUCUCUGCUCAGUCUGGCAAUGCGACGCUGGAUGUGGUGCCUGGAGUGGAGAAUUUGGCCUUUGGCAGUACACAUCCAAGGGAAUGUCAACACUUUUGUGGAUGCCGUGAAACAACCUUUGAGUCGUGAAACAUCCUUUCUCACAAAUGGUGCCUGGAUCCGGGCAUGCUGUGCAAGAUCUUCCACAAGUGGAGAGCUCUGCGUUUAGAUGAAUUUGCGUCAGCCCAGAAUUCUCAGUGUGUGCAAUUCUGCAGCAGGGUGGGAAGGGAUCUGGAGUUGGAAGAGGACGCCUUCUUCCUGCAUUGGGGCAACCAGCUCCUGUAUAUGUUUCCUCCAUUCCCCUUGAUACCAAGAGUCCUACAGAAAAUUGUCGAGGUCAAGGCCAUAUGUAUCCUAAUUGCACCAUGGUGGCCCAUGCAACUCUGCUUCACCAUUUAAUAUGCAGAUCCAUCAAAGGGACUACCUGUCUCAUCGCAAAGGAUUGCCACUUGGCUCAAGGAGGCUAUCUCCUUGGCGUAUCAAUUGGCUUCAGAACCCCUGCCUGUCUGUUUUAGGGCACCCUCCAUGUGGGCAAUGGCUACCUCAUUGGUUUUCUAUAACUUUGUCUCUAUGUCUGACAUUUAUAAGGCCACUACAUGGUCACAUCCAACUACCUUCAUCCGACAUUAUGCUUUGGACGUUCACUCCAGGUCUCAAGCAAUGUUUGAUGCCUCUGUUCUCUGUUCUGCUUCCAUUGAGAAAUAAAGUUUGCUUGUUUGA